Suncus etruscus (white-toothed pygmy shrew) is the source of this 417-nucleotide long non-coding RNA. RefSeq lists it as uncharacterized. The transcript has 4 exons. The record is from RefSeq and is a predicted model, not a curated record. Lineage: Eukaryota; Metazoa; Chordata; Mammalia; Eulipotyphla; Soricidae.
AGAGAGAAGCCACACGCUCCCUGCGUCUAUCUCCAAGGGGCUGCCGGAUACCAGGACUUGCAGCGGGAGAACUGAACUGAGCUGGCACUCUGCACGCAUGCCCUGUGCGCUCGUCAUCACCUCUGACAGCCAAGAAGCGCACAGAUUUGACUCCCCUCAGAACAGGGAGUGAAGAGGCUGCGAUGGAUGGAGAGAGCUGCCUGCCUGCCUUCUCCCUGGCAAGAGUCCUUGUUUCCAAUUAAUUCCUCCAGCCCAGAGCUAGCCCUUGGACCACCAAAGAUGGGGGAACGGAUGGCCAGAUUAGGACCCAGGCCUGAAAAUGCACAAUGAGCAGAGGUGACCAGAGAAGUGCUGAUUCCACCUAGUUCCCUUCUGGACACAUUUCACUACCCCCAAAGUCUUUCUGGUUGGAAAAUC